AGUGAACGCUGGCGGUAGGCCUAACACAUGCAAGUCGAACGGCAGCACAGAGGAGCUUGCUCCUUGGGUGGCGAGUGGCGGACGGGUGAGGAAUACAUCGGAAUCUACUCUGUCGUGGGGGAUAACGUAGGGAAACUUACGCUAAUACCGCAUACGACCUACGGGUGAAAGCAGGGGAUCUUCGGACCUUGCGCGAUUGAAUGAGCCGAUGUCGGAUUAGCUAGUUGGCGGGGUAAAGGCCCACCAAGGCGACGAUCCGUAGCUGGUCUGAGAGGAUGAUCAGCCACACUGGAACUGAGACACGGUCCAGACUCCUACGGGAGGCAGCAGUGGGGAAUAUUGGACAAUGGGCGCAAGCCUGAUCCAGCCAUACCGCGUGGGUGAAGAAGGCCUUCGGGUUGUAAAGCCCUUUUGUUGGGAAAGAAAUCCAGCCGGCUAAUACCUGGUUGGAUGACGGUACCCAAAGAAUAAGCACCGGCUAACUUCGUGCCAGCAGCCGCGGUAAUACGAAGGGUGCAAGCGUUACUCGGAAUUACUGGGCGUAAAGCGUGCGUAGGUGGUUAUUUAAGUCCGUUGUGAAAGCCCUGGGCUCAACCUGGGAACUGCAGUGGAUACUGGAUGACUAGAAUGUGGUAGAGGGUAGCGGAAUUCCUGGUGUAGCAGUGAAAUGCGUAGAGAUCAGGAGGAACAUCCAUGGCGAAAGGCAGCUACCUGGACCAACAUUGACACUGAGGCACGAAAGCGUGGGGGAGCAAACAGG
RNAcentral lists this ribosomal RNA (760 nucleotides) under uncultured Stenotrophomonas sp. RNAcentral describes it as "bacterial SSU rRNA". It matches the Rfam family "Bacterial small subunit ribosomal RNA", at positions 28 to 776 of the family's 1533-position model. Lineage: Bacteria; Pseudomonadati; Pseudomonadota; Gammaproteobacteria; Lysobacterales; Lysobacteraceae. The record is from RNAcentral.